GCCACUGACCUUCAAGGUCUGGGUGAUAUUACCGUUAAGUUGGCUGACGAUAUCGAAUACAAACAGUCCCAACUGG
Molecule: transfer RNA, 76 nt
Filed under: Salmonella phage FSL SP-076
Lineage: Duplodnaviria; Heunggongvirae; Uroviricota; Caudoviricetes; Schitoviridae
Description: tRNA-Asn
Source: RNAcentral